RNAcentral lists this ribosomal RNA (465 nucleotides) under uncultured bacterium. RNAcentral's name for it is "bacterial SSU rRNA". It matches the Rfam family "Bacterial small subunit ribosomal RNA", at positions 338 to 795 of the family's 1533-position model. The record is from RNAcentral.
CCUACGGGUCGCACCAGUGGGGAAUAUUGCACAAUGGGCGCAAGCCUGAUGCAGCCAUGCCGCGUGUAUGAAGAAGGCCUUCGGGUUGUAAAGUACUUUCAGCGGGGAGGAAGGCGAUAAGGUUAAUAACCUUGUCGAUUGACGUUACCCGCAGAAGAAGCACCGGCUAACUCCGUGCCAGCAGCCGCGGUAAUACGGAGGGUGCAAGCGUUAAUCGGAAUUACUGGGCGUAAAGCGCACGCAGGCGGUCUGUCAAGUCGGAUGUGAAAUCCCCGGGCUCAACCUGGGAACUGCAUUCGAACCUGGCUGGCUAGAGUCUUGUAGAGGGGGGUAGAAUUCCAGGUGUAGCGGUGAAAUGCGUAGAGAUCUGGAGUAAUACCGGUGGCGAAGGAGGCCUCCUGGACAAAGACUGACGCUCAGGUGCGAAAGCGUGGGGAGCAAACAGGAUUAGAUACCCGGGUAGUC